This 253-nucleotide ribosomal RNA is filed under the name uncultured bacterium. Its description in RNAcentral is "partial 16S ribosomal RNA". It matches the Rfam family "Archaeal small subunit ribosomal RNA", at positions 474 to 727 of the family's 1478-position model. The record is from RNAcentral.
UACCCGCAGCACAAGUGGUGGCCAUUAUUAUUGGGCCUAAAGCGUCCGUAGCUGGCUUGUUAGAUGCCUGGGUAAAUCGAUGCGCUCAACGUAUCGAAUUCCGGGUAGACCGGCAAGCUCGAGACCGGGAGAGGUGUAGGCUACUCGAGGGGUAGGGGUAAAAUCCUGUAAUCCUUCGGGGAGGACCAGUGGCGAAGGCGCUACACUAGAACGGCUCUGACAGUGAGGGACGAAGCCCUGGGGCGCAAACCGG